UACAGGGGGUGCAAACGUUGCUCGGAAUCACUGGGCGUAAAGCGCACGUAGGCGGCUUUUUAAGUCAGAGGUGAAAUCCUGGAGCUCAACUCCAGAACUGCCUUUGAUACUGGAGAGCUUGAGUCCGGGAGAGGUGAGUGGAACUGCGAGUGUAGAGGUGAAAUCCGUAGAUAUUCGCAAGAACACCAGUGGCGAAGGCGGCUCACUGGCCCGGUACUGACGCUGAGGUGCGAAAGCGUGGGGAGCAAACAGG
RNAcentral lists this ribosomal RNA (253 nucleotides) under uncultured bacterium. Its description in RNAcentral is "partial 16S ribosomal RNA". It matches the Rfam family "Bacterial small subunit ribosomal RNA", at positions 524 to 776 of the family's 1533-position model. The record is from RNAcentral.